GGUAGACAUGUUCAGGUUUAUAGUUCAUGCUCUGCGAGAAAAGGCAAUCAGUAACAAGCCUCGACACGUGUAGCCGAUUAACUGCACUACUUAGAGUAGUCUCAUUACACUAACUCAGGGUUACUGAUCAUUCACAUGUGCUGAUGGCGUCGGGUGCAGAUGAAUCCAAAGACAGAGAGCUGACAGACUGUCCUGAAGUGCAGUUUCCAGACAAUGCUGAAGCUCUAGGUGCAAUGAUAGAGUCCAUAGAAGAGAGGAUUUCUCUGUGUGAUGUGGUCUUUCAAGAUCUGUUAGCUGUUCAGAGAAUUAUAAAGGAAAAAGGCCUUUGUGAUGCAUCAUUGCAGGAACAAAAUGACUUGAGCUGAUUUUACACUAUGAUCAGGAUUUUUUUUUUUUUUUUGAGUUGAGACUUGUACAUAAAUAACCAAUAAAAUGAAUGAUGUGAAAUGA
Molecule: long non-coding RNA, 450 nt
Organism: Pangasianodon hypophthalmus (striped catfish)
Lineage: Eukaryota; Metazoa; Chordata; Actinopteri; Siluriformes; Pangasiidae
Exons: 5
Source: RefSeq, a predicted model, not a curated record